GCUCCCACCCGCCCCCAGCUCCUCCUCCUCUUGGCUAGGGAAGGUGUUCUCUUGGGUGAGACACCAAGGCUGGAAGUUCCUCACGUCCCCUCCUGGCCCCCACCUCCUUCUGUGUGUUUUCUUUCAGACACACCCUUAGCUCAAAUUCGCUUUGAAGGUCAGUAAUUUCCACUCUGUCUUUUCAAAAUAACUGCACAGUUCUUCUGGGACCCAAAGGUUGAUUCUUCACACUGAGGAAUGAGUCUGCCUCAGCAAUAACUACAUUCCAGAAAUAUCCAUCCAGCACCUCUAAUGGAUACAUCUUGGAGGUAUGGACCCUUCCCAAAUUCCAGACUGCUCCACAGAUUACCCAUCGUUGCCCGGAGUGUUCUAGAGUCUCCAGGGGGCUACCUUGCUCUCUCGGAAAUAGGAACCAACCUCAGUCAAAGCCAAGAUGGUGUCAUCUACCCUCUUGAGAUCUACAGAGAUACCCUGAGACCCACUUCCUCAUCAGACUCCCAGCCCUGCUCCCACCAGACCCCUAGUUCCCCAGAGGACUGGCCCGCUGGGAAGACAGUCCCUCCCCACUGGCUCGCUUGGUUGUCUCUGAGCUCUUUGGUAAAGGCCUGGGCAGUCAGGGCACCUGGCUCCUGGUUUGGCCCACAACUGACCUGCCAUGUGCCCUCAGGCAGGUGACUAAAUCCCUGUCCUGGGGGAAGUUCAACAUUGACCACAGGGGCCCGGACCCACCCAAAGAAAUGAUAGACGUGAGUGAGCUUGGCAAAGUCAAGUGCUACAGCAAAGAACGCUUUGGUGUAGACAUUCAAGCAGGUGCUAAUUCCCUCUCACAGUUUGACUUCUACUGAUUGCUUUCCUGUCCCAUGAAAGAGAAUUAGCAAUUAAACCAUGUGUGGAGCUUCUGCCAUGUUCUAGGUACUUGACGAACAGUAUCCCCAAGUCCCUUUUACAGGUGAGGACACCAAGGCUCAGAGAUGAGGCAGAAGAGACACUUCAUUCCACAAACACGUAUAAAGUGCCUGCUCACUGCGGGCAUUUUGUUAUACUCGACUCUGGGGCUUUGGGCCACCCCCACCCUUCCCUGCACAGAGCUCCCAGCCUGGAGGAAUCCCAAAAGAAUGACGCUCCAACCCAUGACUGUCGGGAUCCAAAGCAAAAUAUUUUCCCACCGUGUUGCUCAUUGAACACAUGUUUUUCCUGAGUCCAGGCGGGGGCCCGAAAGUGCUGCUUCCUGAUCUCACCGAGGACAUGCUGGAGUCCCUUGUCUGUGACCUGCCCCCCUGGAAUGCAUGGGACGCACCCCGGAAGCUCUGGUUCUCCCCUCUCAAGUGCAGUCUCACUGCCUGCAGGUCUUCCCUCCCAGGCUUUCACCCCCUGCCGACCUGAUGCUGGGUGGCAUGUGCUUCCGGCACUCUAGAAGCUUCUGUGGUUCCCCAGGGCCUGUUGAAUUCAGUCGGACUCCUCAGCCCGGAGUCCCAGCGCUCCUCCCCCUGACCCCCCAGCCUUCCCCAGCUUUCCCCUUCC
This 1521-nucleotide long non-coding RNA is filed under the name Dasypus novemcinctus (nine-banded armadillo). RNAcentral describes it as "lncRNA (ENSDNOG00000051071.1)". The record is from RNAcentral. Lineage: Eukaryota; Metazoa; Chordata; Mammalia; Cingulata; Dasypodidae.